GCUUAGCUGGCUUAGUUGGUAGAGCAUGUAACUCUUGAUCACAGGGUUGUGAGUUCCAGACCCACACUGGGUU
RNAcentral lists this transfer RNA (73 nucleotides) under Canis lupus familiaris (dog). It matches the Rfam family "tRNA". Rfam says of the family: Transfer RNA (tRNA) molecules are approximately 80 nucleotides in length. Their secondary structure includes four short double-helical elements and three loops (D, anti-codon, and T loops). The record is from Rfam by way of RNAcentral. Lineage: Eukaryota; Metazoa; Chordata; Mammalia; Carnivora; Canidae. RNAcentral also lists the same sequence under 1 other name.